This 447-nucleotide ribosomal RNA is filed under the name uncultured bacterium. Its description in RNAcentral is "bacterial SSU rRNA". It matches the Rfam family "Bacterial small subunit ribosomal RNA", at positions 355 to 825 of the family's 1533-position model. The record is from RNAcentral.
UCGGGAAUUUUGGGCAAUGGGCGAAAGCCUGACCCAGCAACGCCGCGUGAAGGAUGAAGUAUUUCGGUAUGUAAACUUCGAAAGAAUAGGAAGAAUAAAUGACGGUACUAUUUAUAAGGUCCGGCUAACUACGUGCCAGCAGCCGCGGUAAUACGUAGGGACCAAGCGUUGUUCGGAUUUACUGGGCGUAAAGGGCGCGUAGGCGGCAAUUCAAGUCAUCUGUGAAAUCUCCGGGCUUAACUCGGAACGGUCAGAUGAUACUGCUUUGCUAGAGUGCAGAAGGGGCAAUCGGAAUUCUUGGUGUAGCGGUGAAAUGCGUAGAUAUCAAGAGGAACACCUGAGGUGAAGACGGGUUGCUGGGCUGUAACUGACGCUGAGGCGCGAGAGCAAGGGGAGCAAACAGGAUUAGAUACCCCUGUAGUCCCUGAGCGGGCUGGCAAGGCGCAU